This is a non-coding RNA of Paramuricea clavata, 410 nucleotides long. Lineage: Eukaryota; Metazoa; Cnidaria; Anthozoa; Malacalcyonacea; Plexauridae. The record is from the annotation of a GenBank genome assembly.
GUCGACAAGGGCUAUCCUAAUUAAUCCUUUUAUUUUUACCAUUACUUUUUGUCAGCAAAAUGUCGAAGUAUUAACAUUUUCAUCCAGUCUUUCAAUAUGGCCAAAGGUAUCCCUUAAUAUUUUGUUCAUAUUAGAUAACAGCUAACACCUUUAGCUUUGGAGAAUUAAGGAAAGGCCAAUAAUGGGCUAAUAGUAUGUAUCACAUACUUACUCGCCCGCUCACCAUAAUCCUAACUACUUUUGCUUGUACUUAUGGUCAUUACCUAACGUAUAGACUGGCGGCACUCUCUUAUUGACAAGUGAAAGUGUCUGACGUAAAACAAUCUAGUGUUACACCGUGUAAAAUAAUAGAUUAGGGGGCAUUAAUCAGGCGCAUUGCUGCUUAAAAGAUCAACAGAAUCCAAUGGCUG